Molecule: ribosomal RNA, 497 nt
Filed under: uncultured bacterium
Lineage: Bacteria
Description: partial 16S ribosomal RNA
Rfam family: Bacterial small subunit ribosomal RNA
Source: RNAcentral
GAUGAACGCUGGCGGCGUGCCUAAUACAUGCAAGUCGAGCGAACAGACGAGGAGCUUGCUCCUCUGACGUUAGCGGCGGACGGGUGAGUAACACGUGGAUAACCUACCUAUAAGACUGGGAUAACUUCGGGAAACCGGAGCUAAUACCGGAUAAUAUAUUGAACCGCAUGGUUCAGUAGUGAAAGACGGUUUUGCUGUCACUUAUAGAUGGAUCCGCGCCGCAUUAGCUAGUUGGUAAGGUAACGGCUUACCAAGGCGACGAUGCGUAGCCGACCUGAGAGGGUGAUCGGCCACACUGGAACUGAGACACGGUCCAGACUCCUACGGGAGGCAGCAGUAGGGAAUCUUCCGCAAUGGGCGAAAGCCUGACGGAGCAACGCCGCGUGAGUGAUGAAGGUCUUCGGAUCGUAAAACUCUGUUAUUAGGGAAGAACAAAUGUGUAAGUAACUAUGCACGUCUUGACGGUACCUAAUCAGAAAGCCACGGCUAACUACGUG